This 489-nucleotide unclassified non-coding RNA is filed under the name Zea mays. RNAcentral describes it as "misc RNA Zm00001eb274460". Lineage: Eukaryota; Viridiplantae; Streptophyta; Magnoliopsida; Poales; Poaceae. The record is from RNAcentral.
CAGAGGGGAGCUGACGCGCGUGUAGGCGAGCCAGGAAGCGGGUGCGCCAUGGCUGGACGCGAGCAAGAGCAGGGAGAAGACAAGCAGAGAGAGAUGAGCGUCGUGGGGCUUCACAGCACGCGGACGCCAGGGAAGAAGACGCGACCGGACGCCAUGGCUGGGCACAGGGAAGAUGAACGAGCAGAGGGACGGCGACCAGGGAGUUCCGGCCGGCAGAGAAGCAUGGCGCGCGCACAAAGCACAGAAGCUGGGCACGGCCAUGGACUGGGAGAUAGGCUCGGCACCAGGGAGCUCCGAGCAGGGACGCCGCGGUCCGAGCGCCGGACGCCGGGCGGAGCGCGCGACGCAGGAGAAGCUCGAGCGCGCGGGGAAGGGGAUAAGCUCCGUGAAGAAAAAUCUAGAGAUUGGGAGAGACGAGCUGGGGGAAGCAGGUGCUGCAGCGGCUACAAAUCCCACAAGCGCCCGAUCGACUGGGAGGAGAUAAAGGAG